RNAcentral lists this ribosomal RNA (903 nucleotides) under uncultured marine bacterium. Its description in RNAcentral is "bacterial SSU rRNA". It matches the Rfam family "Bacterial small subunit ribosomal RNA", at positions 8 to 916 of the family's 1533-position model. The record is from RNAcentral.
AGAGUUUGAUCCUGGCUCAGGAUGAACGCUAGCGGCAGGCCUAACACAUGCAAGUCGAGGGGUAGAGUAGCUUGCUAACUUGAGACCGGCGCACGGGUGCGUAACGCGUAUGCAAUCUACCUUGUACAAGGGGAUAGCCCAGAGAAAUUUGGAUUAAUACCCCAUAGUAUCUUUUGAAGGCAUCUUCAAAUUAUUAAAGUUCCAACGGUACAAGAUGAGCAUGCGUCCCAUUAGUUAGUUGGUGUGGUAACGGCACACCAAGACGAUGAUGGGUAGGGGCCCUGAGAGGGAGAUCCCCCACACUGGUACUGAGACACGGACCAGACUCCUACGGGAGGCAGCAGUGAGGAAUAUUGGGCAAUGGAGGCAACUCUGACCCAGCCAUGCCGCGUGCAGGAAGACGGCCCUAUGGGUUGUAAACUGCUUUUGUACGGGAAGAAACACUCCUACGUGUAGGAGCUUGACGGUACCGUAAGAAUAAGGAUCGGCUAACUCCGUGCCAGCAGCCGCGGUAAUACGGAGGAUCCAAGCGUUAUCCGGAAUCACUGGGUUUAAAGGGUCCGUAGGCGGCCUUAUAAGUCAGUGGUGAAAUCUCCUAGCUCAACUAGGAAACUGCCAUUGAUACUGUAGGGCUUGAAUUUUUGUGAAGUAACUAGAAUAUGUAGUGUAGCGGUGAAAUGCUUAGAUAUUACAUGGAAUACCAAUUGCGAAGGCAGGUUACUAACAAACGAUUGACGCUGAUGGACGAAAGCGUGGGGAGCGAACAGGAUUAGAUACCCUGGUAGUCCACGCCGUAAACGAUGGAUACUAGCUGUUCGGUGCAAACUGAGUGGCUAAGCGAAAGUGAUAAGUAUCCCACCUGGGGAGUACGCACGCAAGUGUGAAACUCAAAGGAAUUGACGG